AGGCUUCCCAGGAAGAAUGAAGCAGUCAACUUGCAUAAGGCCUGUCUUGACUUCUCUCCUUUGGGGGAAGAGGAUCACAUUAAGAAGGGUGGCAGGCUUGCCUGGACACAGAAUUCCACUACCAAACAGACAUCAUUUCUGAGAACUUCAGAGUUUAUGAUCCAGGUUUCCCAGUGAUUAAAUUACUCCUUGGAAGGCCAAGUGGCAUCAGAGCUGAGUGAUGGACGACCUGCAGUCCCAGAACCUCUCCAUGGACAUGACUGACUCCCCUCCUGCCUUGGCUAAUAACAGACUGGAGAAUGGCAUGGCUCAGCUGAUCACCACCGAGGCCUGGAACAUCAACUCCACUGACCUGCCCCUGUGCCUCGGGGAGAGCCCAGUGGUGAUGCCCAUUCACAUGCAGGUGGAGGGAAGCUCCGCACCAGAGCUCAAUCCGAAUGGCAAUGCCACCUACGUCAUGACCAC
RNAcentral lists this long non-coding RNA (465 nucleotides) under Homo sapiens (human). Its description in RNAcentral is "non-protein coding lnc-BEND2-2:1". Lineage: Eukaryota; Metazoa; Chordata; Mammalia; Primates; Hominidae. The record is from RNAcentral.